Equus caballus (horse) is the source of this 783-nucleotide long non-coding RNA. RefSeq lists it as uncharacterized. The record is from RefSeq and is a predicted model, not a curated record. Lineage: Eukaryota; Metazoa; Chordata; Mammalia; Perissodactyla; Equidae.
UGGGGCUGCCUCCCCCACAGGCAGGCUCUGGCCCCUCCAACGGGGAAGACCUAUCCAUGUUGGAGGGAGUGGAAAGGAGGGGUGGAGCGGAUGGCUCAGGACAGAAGGUCUGCAUAGUCAGAGAGGCAGGAUCAGUAGGUGGGACUGGAAAGGGGAACCAGGGAUAGCAAAUAGUUUUCGUUUUGCGUAUGCAAUCUGACUCUGGGAGUGCAUGAAUGUGCUGAGAAGGAAUCCGGAGUUGUGCUCAGGCAUGAGUGUUGUGAUCAGUUAGCAGUGUCUGCUGUGGUUGUGGGAUAGGAGACUGGUGGCACAUAUGCCACAUAGUUGCCCCUUUGUUUUUUUCUGGCAAAGUGCUACUCAAUUUUGGUGCAGGGACCAGUGCUGAUCUGUAAGCUGUUUGAAACUCAUCUGGACAAGGGCAACUUGACCACCCGGAGGCUUCAGCUGUGGCAGAAGGUGCUAUUGUCCAGAGGGGACACAGGAAUACCCAGCUGGUGCAAGAGAGAGCAGGCAGAAGCCUGUCAUGGUGGAGGAACAUGACGACCUCCUCAGAGAAGAACAUCUAUGUUGGCAUCCAUGAUGGAUGACAACUGAAAGACCUGGUAUGGCGUCUCCCGUCACCAAUGCCAGAUGGUCAACGUUCCUGAGCCCCUCCUUCAUAGCCCACUAGUCCUACAUAACUGCCUUAAGAUUGUGUGCUUGUUUAAGAUGGUCUUUGGGACAUGAGUCGGCCAUCUUCCGAUUUUGCUGGCUAAUUGAAUAAAUCCUUUUCUCAACCACCAA